GGGGAUUUAGCUCAGUGGCAUAAGUGCCUGCCUUGCAAACAGGCAGUCGUGAGUUCAAUCCCCG
Transfer RNA from Cavia porcellus (domestic guinea pig), 64 nucleotides. It matches the Rfam family "tRNA". Rfam says of the family: Transfer RNA (tRNA) molecules are approximately 80 nucleotides in length. Their secondary structure includes four short double-helical elements and three loops (D, anti-codon, and T loops). Further hydrogen bonds mediate the characteristic L-shaped molecular structure. tRNAs have two regions of fundamental functional importance: the anti-codon, which is responsible for specific mRNA codon recognition, and the 3' end, to which the tRNAs corresponding amino acid is attached (by aminoacyl-tRNA synthetases). tRNAs cope with the degeneracy of the genetic code in two manners: having more than one tRNA (with a specific anti-codon) for a particular amino acid; and 'wobble' base-pairing, i.e. permitting non-standard base-pairing at the 3rd anti-codon position. Lineage: Eukaryota; Metazoa; Chordata; Mammalia; Rodentia; Caviidae. The record is from Rfam.